Long non-coding RNA from Homo sapiens (human), 653 nucleotides. Ensembl annotates it as SEPTIN4 antisense RNA 1. Its record names the gene SEPTIN4-AS1. The record is from Ensembl. Lineage: Eukaryota; Metazoa; Chordata; Mammalia; Primates; Hominidae.
GGUUUCACUUUCUCCUUAGCCAGGAGAAGUGCCCCAAAUUUCUAAUCCCUUAAGCCAGGACCUUGGUAGCCCUGAGGUGUGAUGGGAGACUCUGGACAGAACCACCUGUUGACCUAUCCAGGACCCAAAUAUGCACCACAGCACCAAGAAGUUUCCGGUCCCGGUACAGAUCAGUGAGGAAGAGGCUAUUGACAAGUGUGGAUUUGCCCAGGCCAGACUCUCCUGAGAGGAGAGAGGACAGAGGCACCAAAUCAGAAGGGACCCUUCUCUGGGCUGUCUGAUAGUCUGCAGAGACACAGCUGCUUCCGUGCUCUAGGAGAGAGGGACUCCUUGGAGAUCUGAUCUCACUAGUAGUCGUAAUUCUUUGGAUGGGCUCAGUUUGUACUGCUUCAUCCUUUGGAGAAGGCUCCAGACCCUCCUUUACUCUCCCGAGAUUCUAGAAAUUCUCAGGACUCAUCCAGAGAAGGAAUCAGCCAGAAGAUCCUAUGAAGACAAGAUCAAACCAAACACGCUGUGUUCGCCCCAGUUUUAAUAAGAAAUCUGACUGAAAACAAAUGGUUGAAUGUGCUGCUAACAGAGAGGGCCAAACGAUGAUGUCUAUUGUGGCAGCUGAACAAAGUGAGACUUACAGAACUGGAACUGCUGCCCUGACA